Oncorhynchus kisutch (coho salmon) is the source of this 2441-nucleotide long non-coding RNA. RefSeq lists it as uncharacterized. Lineage: Eukaryota; Metazoa; Chordata; Actinopteri; Salmoniformes; Salmonidae. The record is from RefSeq and is a predicted model, not a curated record. The transcript has 2 exons.
UGUGUACUAUGGUGCAUUGAGUUGGUUGGAACCUCUCCAGCGCACUGACAAUAAACAAUGAUUCAUUUAAGAUUGACUUUGAGUGUCCCUGUGUAAGAAUAUUUCUGCCUGCGGAGCUUUCCAGUUGGGGCCUGCGAGGAAAACCGGAGGCGCAUUUUAUGAAGCGUGAGGGAAAUUCCUGUCCGACCAAAAGAGGACGAGGACCAGUCAAGAUCCUUACUGUGAGCUGCCCAGGAGGAGACACAUCACCCACGAACAAUUGAGGGACGGCAACUGAUUUCACAAAUCUCACCAGAUUGGGUCUGCUGGAUGGUGGAGUUUUCUCCCUGAGGAUUAGCCCUCUGACUCCAUGACCUGUAACUCUUCAUUGAGAUCGCCAAGAUGAUAGGGGAGUAUAAGCCAAUUUGGGGGGGGGGGGGGGGAAUGGUUUCAACUGUGUGGUGUUAUUCUCUAAGACAUUUGUCUUAGAAGUCUGGAUUUCCUGAAUUACAAAUGCCCUAAACUAAACUGUUGUUCUGGUCUGUCCUCUCUCGAGGUAAUGGCGGAGAUUGUAUCUAGAUGCAUGGAAAAUAAUUUGGCCGAUGAACAGUGUGAUCCUCAACACCCCCUUUAACCGGCUGAAAUUGGUGAAAAUGGUGUCCAGUAUGGUCCUUCACCACUUCUACCGUGAGACCUGAGUCCAAGCCAGCAACCUGUACACAGCAGUCGACGCGCUAUCAACUGCCUUUUCUCCCAUGUUUUUUCUCUCAGGAGCGACAUGUGGUGCACGUGAGCAUGGAGAGAGAUCCUUCUCUAAUGCUGCUGGUGUACUGGUAGGAAAAUGGACAAAGACAUAAUGAACUGUAAAGGACAGUGGCGGCUCAGGUGAGAGACACUAUCAAGGGCCAUCCACUUUGAACAUGUGCCAUUAAAAAGACAAACUGAAACACUAUCUGAAGAAGAACAUGAAGAAAUGUCAGGAAAGGAAGAAUGAGUGCCCGUAAUUGAUUUAGGCUUGUCCAAAAUGGUUUAUUUGGGGUAUUGGGUGGAUUGUGAAGGUUUGCACACUGCAAAAUGUUGUGAUUUAGACUAACAAUGCAUUGAAAUACCAAUCUGUCAUUACCACGAGUGAUGAGAAAAGUGAGGGUCUUAAAUUAAAGUGACAGAACCAACGUGACGCACUAAGGAUUGUCAUUCUAAAUUUGGGUUUGAUAAUAUAUCAAUAAUUCUGAUUCUGAUUUGGAAAGGCAAAACUUCUAGAGACAGAACUGUGUCCUAAAAACGUGAGGAGAGACACUAGAUUGUUACAAGGUUAGCCCAAGCUACAAUCUCAUUCUUAGCAAGGUUGGUGUGAAACUGUUAUAAUGUGAACUCUUUCUCUUCCCUGUGAAAUGUUAUUAACAUGCGAUGUGCCUCUCUGGCUGAUAAGAUUUCAGCAGCUAUCUUGUUUUCUACUCCUCCAGAGGAUGGUGAAACAGUUAGAUGCCAACUCUGGAUGAGCCCCCCCAUUUCCUCCGGUUCUUUUCCUUUUAGCAAGUUGAGAGUAAGGUCAUCUAAACCCUUAACCUAUGUGGACACCACACUAUGUGGAACACUGAGCUGAUGAGCAAGUUAAACAACUGGGUUUUAUGCUUUGACUAUGUGGAUGUUCCAGGGACAGUUAGUGAAAACAUAGGUCAAUGCAACCCAAGUGUGGAAAGAAAUAUGGAAACAAUGGUUAACAUCAAGAUAUUUAUUCACCUCUGAAUCUACAGAUCCGUUGUGUAUUUUGGAUACUCACUCCCAUUAAUAAAGUAUAACCUUUAUUAUGAUUAUAGUAUUACCAUACUGAGUGGAUUGUACAACCCAGAAUGAAGGGUUUGAAAUGAUGAAGUGUCUGUUUUGUUUUUGUGUUGAUUUCCCUUACUUUCAUAGAGUAUAGAAUAUUUUGAUAUAGAAGCUAAAAUGUAAAUGCUUACAUUAAAAUUGAAUGGUUAUCACACAAGAGGUAAGAUAAGAGGAUAAGAGGAUGGAAUGUAAUGGGAAUUUUAAUGUUUGCUUUUCUUACAACCAAUUUCUGUGUUCUAUUCAUGUGCUGUUCUAAUAACAAUUUUCUGUGUUCUUGCAAGUGGCUGACUGACAAAUCACACCUAUCAGUAGCUGCAAUUUGGCAGUACGCCCAAAUGUUAUUUUGAGAUCAAACAACCGUGUUUUGAGAACAAAUGAAAUAUCUCAGUUUCUCAGUUUGGUCUGUCACUUGUUAUGAAACGGUAUUGGUUGGUCACAUGAAUGAAACAACAUGGUAAUGAUUAAUUGAUUAUGCUAAAUCAUGCAAAUAUAACUUGUCUGUGUAUAGCCGUACAUAAUACAACUGCUGGGACUGUCCCAGGGGAGCUUCUGACAGACGUGUACUAUGGUGCAUUGAGUUGGUUGGAACCUUUCCAGAAACGCUGACAAUAAACAAUGAUUCAUUUAAGAUUGAC